AGAGUUUGAUCCUGGCUCAGAACGAACGCUGGCGGCGUGCUUAACACAUGCAAGUCGUGCGAGUUGAUCUUCGGAUCUUCGAGCGGCGGACGGGUGAGUAACACGUAAGCAACCUACCCCCGGGUUCGGGAUAACAUUGCGAAAGCGAUGCUAAUACCGAAUAAAGUCCAGAAGGCGAUGUUUUCAGGACCAAAGGCGGCCUCUGAUUCAAGCUGUCGUCUGGGGAUGGGCUUGCGGCCCAUUAGCUUGUUGGUGAGGUAACGGCUCACCAAGGCUUCGAUGGGUAGCCGGGCUGAGAGGCUGAACGGCCACACUGGAACUGAGACACGGUCCAGACUCCUACGGGAGGCAGCAGUGGGGAAAUUUGGGCAAUGGGCGAAAGCCUGACCCAGCGACGCCGCGUGAGCGAUGAAGCCCUUUGGGGUGUAAAGCUCUUUUCUGGGGGAAGAACAAGCGCAAUUCGAAUAGGGUUGUGUUCUGACGGUACCUCAGGAAUAAGCCCCGGCUAACUCCGUGCCAGCAGCCGCGGUAAUACGGAGGGGGCGAGCGUUGUUCGGAAUUACUGGGCGUAAAGGGCGUGUAGGCGGCCCUGCAAGUCAGACGUGAAAGCCCUCGGCUCAACUGAGGACGUGCGUUUGAUACUGCUGGGCUUGAGUGCGGGAGAGGAGAGUGGAAUUCCCAGUGUAGCGGUGAAAUGCGUAGAUAUUGGGAGGAACACCUGUGACGAAGGCGGCUCUCCGGACCGCAACUGACGCUGAGACGCGAAAGCGUGGGGAGCGAACGGGAUUAGAUACCCCGGUAGUCCACGCUGUAAACGAUGGGUACUAGGUGUAGCGGGUAUAGACGCCUGCUGUGCCGCAGCUAACGCAUUAAGUACCCCGCCUGGGGAGUACGGUCGCAAGAUUGAAACUCAAAGGAAUUGACGGGGGCCCGCACAAGCGGUGGAGCAUGUGGUUUAAUUCGAUGCAACGCGAAGAACCUUACCUGGGCUUGACAUGCUUGGGACAGGUGGUGAAAGCCACCCUUCCGCAAGGACCCUUGCACAGGUGCUGCAUGGCUGUCGUCAGCUCGUGUCGUGAGAUGUUGGGUUAAGUCCCGCAACGAGCGCAACCCCUACCCUUAGUUGCCAGCGGUUAGGCCGGGGACUCUAGGGGAACUGCCGGUGACAAACCGGAGGAAGGUGGGGAUGACGUCAAGUCCUCAUGGCCUUUAUGUCCAGGGCUACACACGUGCUACAAUGGUCGGUACAAAGGGUUGCAAUACCGUGAGGUGGAGCCAAUCCCAAAAAGCCGGCCUCAGUUCGGAUUGGAGUCUGCAACUCGACUCCAUGAAGGUGGAAUCGCUAGUAAUCGCGGAUCAGCAUGCCGCGGUGAAUACGUUCCCGGGCCUUGUACACACCGCCCGUCACACCACGAAAGUCGAUUGCGGUAGAAGUCGGUGAGCCAACCAUGCAAAUGGAGGCAGCCGCCCACGCUGUGGUCGAUGAUUGGGGUGAAGUCGAAACAAGGUA
Molecule: ribosomal RNA, 1510 nt
Filed under: metagenome
Description: bacterial SSU rRNA
Rfam family: Bacterial small subunit ribosomal RNA
Source: RNAcentral